UGGGGAAUAUUGCACAAUGGGGGAAAGCCCUGAUGCAGCGACGCCGCGUGAGGGAAGACGGUUUUCGGAUUGUAAACCUCUGUCUUGUGGGACGAUAGUGACGGUACCACAGGAGGAAGCCAUGGCUAACUACGUGCCAGCAGCCGCGGUAAUACGUAGAUGGCGAGCGUUGUCCGGAAUUACUGGGUGUAAAGGGAGUGUAGGCGGGCUGGUAAGUUGAAUGUGAAACCUUCGGGGCUCAACCCGGAGCGUGCGUUCAAAACUGCUGGUCUUGAGUGAAGUAGAGGCAGGCGGAAUUCCCGGUGUAGCGGUGGAAUGCGUAGAUAUCGGGAGGAACACCAGUGGCGAAGGCGGCCUGCUGGGCUUUUACUGACGCUGAGGCUCGAAAGCAUGGGUAGCAAACAGGAUUAGAUACCC
Molecule: ribosomal RNA, 417 nt
Filed under: uncultured bacterium
Lineage: Bacteria
Description: bacterial SSU rRNA
Rfam family: Bacterial small subunit ribosomal RNA
Source: RNAcentral